UGCCCGGUAGUCUAGUGGGAAGACGCCUGGCCCUGGACCAGGAGACGGGGGUUCGACCCCUCCCCGGGCAUCCA
Molecule: transfer RNA, 74 nt
Filed under: Planctomycetota bacterium
Lineage: Bacteria; Pseudomonadati; Planctomycetota
Description: Planctomycetes bacterium (groundwater metagenome) tRNA-Gln
Rfam family: tRNA
About the family: Transfer RNA (tRNA) molecules are approximately 80 nucleotides in length. Their secondary structure includes four short double-helical elements and three loops (D, anti-codon, and T loops).
Source: RNAcentral